CAAGGUCUAAUUAGGACCCAACCUGUUUAAGAAUGAAAUACGUUGGCUGGUGCUGGUCUAUGUGGAAUUAGGCCUACCGAGUCCAGAUUAGGUCUAUGUUGUCUAAUUACUUGAAGCAGUUAUAUAAGACCGGAUUAAAUUAACACCAUAACAGCAUCGUACUAAUUGAUCAUAAUUCUCAUUUCCUUUCUCUCUCUAACUUUCAUGUUCUCUUUCCCGAAACCCUAAAACUUCAUUGAUGAAGCCAUGCAACCUAUAAUUUGAGGGAAGUAUGAAGAAUCGAAGGUGGCAAUUGAAGCAUUAAAGUUAUCUAUAUAAGGUGUCUACAGGAUUGUUAUCCGAAUUCGUAACGAGAUGGACAUUUGUCAUGUUGAUGAACCUCGUAGAUGUGGUCUAUGCCACCAACAUGGUCAUAAUCGAAGAAAUUGUACAAAUUCCCAAUCAAGAUUCGUUUCGUUGUGAAAGUUGUAAUUUUUUUAAUUGGUAUUUUAAUAUCGUCGGAUAAUAAUUUUAUUUUGAUACUUAUUUUACAUAUCAUUUAAAAAGUAUCAUAUUUUUUUGUAAAAAA
This is a long non-coding RNA of Cynara cardunculus var. scolymus (artichoke), 568 nucleotides long. RefSeq lists it as uncharacterized. The record is from RefSeq and is a predicted model, not a curated record. The transcript is spliced from 2 exons. Lineage: Eukaryota; Viridiplantae; Streptophyta; Magnoliopsida; Asterales; Asteraceae.